Molecule: long non-coding RNA, 2127 nt
Organism: Nicotiana attenuata
Lineage: Eukaryota; Viridiplantae; Streptophyta; Magnoliopsida; Solanales; Solanaceae
Exons: 2
Source: RefSeq, a predicted model, not a curated record
UUCAUCUCUUUUAGUUUCCAGAAUAGAUUACUAUUAAUAGUUCUCUUUUAUCUUUUCAGCUACCCAAACAAUCUCAUAUCUGAUCCUUUUUCAGUUUUUGCCCAAAUCUUCUUCGGGUUCUCACAAUUUCAUGGCUAAAGUUGUUAUUUUUCUAUCUAUGGAGGAAACGAAAGAUUGAAACUUUGAGUUGAAGAAACAAAGGAAGAAGGAUCCUGAUGUUCCACUAAUUCCUCUAUCUGCUAUUUAUUGCUUUAAAUCUUUAGUUAGCCUUUUUGCUCAUAUAUAUUGUUUCACAUGAAAAAUGUAAUUCAGGGAGAAUAUAAAAGAAUGCUUUUGAAAUUUAUUGGCACUCCUACGUUAUUUAACUACAUGGAGUUUGACACUGAUUCUAUGAUUAAAUACCUGCAGGAUUUGCUGGCUUCUAUUUUUCGUGGAGCAUUUAAUCUCAAUUGCCAUGAACUUAAAGAUGAUAACGAGAUGAUUUUUACCAAUUGAGUUUUUCUUUGCUCAUCCUACUUUGGCUUCAAUUUUUUGAUAUUGAUAUUUGUUUAGAAUUUUCGUUACUCUUUUACAUGUGCAACAUAUAAUUUAUUAGGAUAUAUGUAAGCAAGUAAUUUGACACUGCUUGUAUCUUCUAGGACAAGGUUGUCCUCUUAAUUAGUUGUUUAAUACUGCUACUUGAUAGAAAUUUUCUUGAUACAAGUUGAUGUGUCAUGUUAUUGUCAUAAAUGAGCAUGUUUUUAAAGUACUUAAUCGUGUUUUGAUACCUCUGUUUAGUGUUCGUGUGACACAGGUGUCUGUUGUACGCAAAAACCAAAACUCACACAUUCUCUUUUGGGUUAUUAACUUAUUAUGAGCUGUCCAUAUGUUAGUUUAUUCAGUCGGCAGGAGGGAAGUCUCAGGACUUGAAUCUUGAUCAAUGCAUCGUCGCUUUACGGUUGAUGUGUGAAAUUUUCUUGAUUGCAUUUUUUUCUUUCCCAAAUAUGAAUUAUUUUAUUCUCUUAGUAACAGAUUAGUAUUCCUGAUACUGCACUGCACAUCUAGGGCAAGUGACUACAUUGUAUCAAUUAAACAUGUGGACUCUUAAUAGUGCUCUUUACGAUAUGUUGCAAAGACAUUUCUAUGGAAUUAACUCUUAAAGCAUGGAUGUCGAUUUUUCUGUGAAUUAUAAAGAUCGUUCCUUGUUUUGUUGGUGGUUUUGACCUUAUAAAUACUUGAGACCCGUAAUAGAAGAACAACGUUAGUUAAAAAUAUUAUAUGAAAUUAAGCUUCACACUUCCAUUAUCCUUUUGGUAUCUUAUUAGGAAAAUUCUUGAAAUUUAAAAAAUGAAAAUGAAUCACUUGCUUCUUUUCUAGAAUUAAACUGAAUUUAAAGUGGCUAACCGUAUUGCUUCUACGGGUGUAGUAGUGGGAGACAAAUUCUCUAUACAUGUGAUGGUGCUUUAAUUUUUUUUUUUUUACCUCAUGUUAGCACUAUGGAUCAACUUCUAUUUUAACCUAGAUUUAUUAGGAUAUCCUUCAAUUUCUAUUUGACUUCAUGAUGCGAACCUGAAGUGAUGUUAUAUAUUAUUCUUGAGUAUCGAUUUUCUUUGUGUGAAUCAUACUUUGAGUAAUACCUCUGUAUAUGGUAUUGAAAUAUAAAGGAGCUUUGCAUUAUUUGAAACUCAUUCUCUGUUUGCUCAAGUGACUGCUUGGGCUUUCAAAGCUAUUUCUGGAGAUGUGACUAUUGAAAAUCAGAGUGGAUGAGAUAAACAAUGUGACACUCAUAAUGAUCUACCAGUUAAGGCUUUCCCAAUGAAACAAUUACAAGUAAGUGAGAAAAAGGACUCAUUAUGAAUAUAUAGUGAUUGGUACACUACUAAAGGAGAUUGGCUUGUUGAAAAAAUGAAUGGUUUUCGCCUUGGAUGCUAAACAACUCAAGAUCAUUUCCUUCCAAAUAUCAAAUGCCUCCCAAGCAUCACAACUUUCGAACAUUGUUGAAAUAUUGGUGUGCUUUGGGUGUUUGUCAUUAUAUGUGGACAUUUUAUUUUCUUGUUUGAGCUAAGGGAAUAUGAUUUGCCAGUUGUCAAUAUUCAAUGUUUCACAUUGAAACUUUCCUGAAUUCAAGUAUAUGUCAUUUGGCAUGGA